CGAGCCACCAUCACGUUCCUA
This 21-nucleotide non-coding RNA is filed under the name Arabidopsis thaliana (thale cress). Lineage: Eukaryota; Viridiplantae; Streptophyta; Magnoliopsida; Brassicales; Brassicaceae. The record is from RNAcentral.